This is a non-coding RNA of Perognathus longimembris pacificus (Pacific pocket mouse), 516 nucleotides long. The record is from the annotation of a RefSeq genome assembly. Lineage: Eukaryota; Metazoa; Chordata; Mammalia; Rodentia; Heteromyidae.
AUGACGGGUAAUGAAAGCAGUGUCCACAGACAUAUGCUUCUUCAUAUAUGGAACAGUGGUGAUAUUCUAAAGAUGAGACUUUCUCCAGGCUUAGUGACUGUGAUAUUCUUAAUAUUUGGAAAGGCUUGCGGAGAUUCUGUGAUCCAGAAGCAAGGCCAUGUGACUGUGUCAGAAGGGGCUUUCAUGACCAUAAACUGCACGUAUACAACCACAACGUACCCCACUCUCUUCUGGUAUGUCCAGUACCCUGGAGAAGGUCCCCAGCUCCUUAUUAAAGUCACCAAGGCCAAUGAGAUGGGAAGCCACAAAGGAUUUGAAGCCAUGUAUGAUAAAGAAGCCACCUCCUUCCACUUGAAGAAAGCCAAAGUCCUAGUGUCUGAUUCCGCUGUGUACUACUGUGCUCUGGGUGACACAGUGACAGAAACCACACGGGGAGCUGAGCACAAACUGAGCUGCAGUAGGGGCCUGGCUGCUGAGCUCCUGUUCUGGGAUCUCUGUGGUUUCAGCACACUCUGA